GACGAACGCUGGCGGCGUGCUUAACACAUGCAAGUCGAACGGAAAGGGCGUGAGCUUGUGGGGUGCUCGAGUGUCGCACGGGUGUGUAACACGUGAGUACACUGCGCUUGACUUUCGGGUAUCUUCGGUGAACUCGGGCUAAUACCGCGUAUGCGCUCCGGCUGGGCGUCGGCUGUGGGUGGAAUUCGGCGGUUGGGGAUGGGCUCGCGGCUUAUCAGCUUGUUGGUGGGGGAGCGGCUUACCAAGGCUUGGACGGGUAGCCGGCCUGAGAGGGUGACCGGCCACAUUGGGACUGAGACACGGCCCAGACUCCUACGGGAGGCAGCAGUGGGGAAUAUUGCACAAUGGGCGGAAGCCUGAUGCAGCAACGCCGCGUGCGGGAUGACGGCCUUCGGGUUGUAAACCGCUUUCGGCAGUGAAGAAGCGAGAGUGACGGUAAUUGGAAAAGAAGCACCGGCUAACUACGUG
This 468-nucleotide ribosomal RNA is filed under the name uncultured bacterium. RNAcentral's name for it is "partial 16S ribosomal RNA". It matches the Rfam family "Bacterial small subunit ribosomal RNA", at positions 28 to 507 of the family's 1533-position model. The record is from RNAcentral.